UACGAGGGGGGCGAGCGUUGUUCGGAAUUAUUGGGCGUAAAGGGUGCGUAGGCGGUUCCGCAAGUCCUGUGUGAAAUCUUCGGGCUCAACUCGAAGUCUGCACGGGAAACUGCGGGGCUUGAGUGUGGGAGAGGUGAGCGGAAUUCCCGGUGUAGCGGUGAAAUGCGUAGAUAUCAGGAGGAACACCUGCGGUGUAGACGGCUUUCUGGACCAUUGUUGACGCUGAGACACGAAAGCGUGGGUAGCAAACAGG
RNAcentral lists this ribosomal RNA (253 nucleotides) under uncultured bacterium. Its description in RNAcentral is "partial 16S ribosomal RNA". It matches the Rfam family "Bacterial small subunit ribosomal RNA", at positions 524 to 776 of the family's 1533-position model. The record is from RNAcentral.